RNAcentral lists this ribosomal RNA (434 nucleotides) under uncultured bacterium. RNAcentral describes it as "partial 16S ribosomal RNA". It matches the Rfam family "Bacterial small subunit ribosomal RNA", at positions 27 to 507 of the family's 1533-position model. The record is from RNAcentral.
GAACGAACGCUGGCGGCAUGCCUAACACAUGCAAGUCGAACGAGACCUUCGGGUCUCGUGGCGCACGGGUGCGUAACGCGUGGGAACCUGCCCUUAGGUUCGGAAUAACUCCCCGAAAGGGGUGCUAAUACCGGAUAAUGUCUUCGGACCAAAGAUUUAUCGCCUUUGGAUGGGCCCGCGUUGGAUUAGCUAGUUGGUAGGGUAAAAGCCUACCAAGGCGACGAUCCAUAGCUGGUCUGAGAGGAUGAUCAGCCACACUGGGACUGAGACACGGCCCAGACUCCUACGGGAGGCAGCAGUGGGGAAUAUUGGACAAUGGGCGAAAGCCUGAUCCAGCAAUGCCGCGUGAGUGAUGAAGGCCUUAGGGUUGUAAAGCUCUUUUACCCGGGAUGAUAAUGACAGUACCGGGAGAAUAAGCUCCGGCUAACUCCGUG